Molecule: long non-coding RNA, 379 nt
Filed under: Panax ginseng (ginseng)
Lineage: Eukaryota; Viridiplantae; Streptophyta; Magnoliopsida; Apiales; Araliaceae
Description: long non-coding RNA (PGIN_LNC001554)
Source: RNAcentral
AGAUAUAAUUUUUCACGGAUUGAGAAGGAAGUUUCUGAAGAGAGUACACUUGAUCUAAAAGAUCAUCAACAUACCAAUUCUGGGAAAACUCACAAGCAUCAUUUGUGGAGGCACUAUCAUCAUCGACUUGAGAGGUGGGAAAUUGUGGAGAAAGAUCACAAAAGUUGUCUUGUGAUUCAUUAGAACAAUCAUAAGAGGGAGGAUCAAGCCACCAUUUGGGAUCGUAUGGAGAAGAGUGAAAAUCUGAGUAUGGAGAGAAUUGAUUUUCCACCAUGGAAUCGUAUGGAGAAGACUAAAUGUGCAGCAGGGGUAUUUAUUGAUGGAACACUGAUCUAGAGAGAAAAUUAGACUAAACAAAGAUACAACGAAGGGAAUUUAG